RNAcentral lists this ribosomal RNA (466 nucleotides) under uncultured bacterium. Its description in RNAcentral is "partial 16S ribosomal RNA". It matches the Rfam family "Bacterial small subunit ribosomal RNA", at positions 28 to 507 of the family's 1533-position model. The record is from RNAcentral.
GAUGAACGCUGGCGGCGUGCUUAACACAUGCAAGUCGAACGGAAAGGCUCCUGCUUGCAGGGGUACUCGAGUGGCGAACGGGUGAGUAACACGUGGGUGAUCUGCCCUGCACUUCGGGAUAAGCCUGGGAAACUGGGUCUAAUACCGGAUAGGACGAUGGUUUGGAUGCCAUUGUGGAAAGUUUUUUCGGUGUGGGAUGAGCUCGCGGCCUAUCAGCUUGUUGGUGGGGUAAUGGCCUACCAAGGCGUCGACGGGUAGCCGGCCUGAGAGGGUGUACGGCCACAUUAGGACUGAGAUACGGCCCAGACUCCUACGGGAGGCAGCAGUGGGGAAUAUUACACUAUGGGCGGAACCCUGAUGCAGCGACGCCGCGUGGGGGAUAACGGCCUUCGGGUUGUAACCUCCUUUCGCUAGGGACGAAGCGCAAGUGACGGUACCUGGAGAAGAAGCACCGGCUAACUACGUG